RNAcentral lists this ribosomal RNA (270 nucleotides) under uncultured bacterium. Its description in RNAcentral is "partial 16S ribosomal RNA". It matches the Rfam family "Bacterial small subunit ribosomal RNA", at positions 86 to 354 of the family's 1533-position model. The record is from RNAcentral.
UGCCGGCGACCGGCGGACGGGUGCGUAACGCGUAUGUAACCUACCUUUGACAGGGGAGUAACAUCGAGAAAUUGGUACUAAUACCCCAUAACAUCGACCGGAGGCAUCUUCGGUGGUUGAAAACUCAGGUGGUCAGAGAUGGACAUGCGUUGUAUUAGCUAGUUGGUGGGGUAACGGCUCACCAAGGCGACGAUACAGUAGGGGGACUGAGAGGUCCAACCCCCCACAUUGGUACUGAGACCCGGACCAAACUCCUACGGGAGGCAGCAG